GCCUACCAUGCAGUCGACGGGCCGUCGCAAGACGGUCAGUGGCGAACGGGUGAGUAACGCGUGGGAACCUGCCCCGAAGUUCGGAAUAACCGCGGGAAACUGCGGCUAAUACCGGAUGUGGCCUGAGGGCCAAAGGCGCAAGCCGCUUCGGGAGGGGCCCGCGUCCGAUUAGCUAGUUGGCGGGGUAACGGCCCACCAAGGCGAUGAUCCGUAGCUGGUCUGAGAGGAUGAUCAGCCACACUGGGACUGAGACACGGCCCAGACUCCUACGGGAGGCAGCAGUGGG
Molecule: ribosomal RNA, 286 nt
Filed under: uncultured Alphaproteobacteria bacterium
Lineage: Bacteria; Pseudomonadati; Pseudomonadota; Alphaproteobacteria
Description: partial 16S ribosomal RNA
Rfam family: Bacterial small subunit ribosomal RNA
Source: RNAcentral